Molecule: ribosomal RNA, 299 nt
Filed under: Lacunicambarus chimera
Lineage: Eukaryota; Metazoa; Arthropoda; Malacostraca; Decapoda; Cambaridae
Description: partial small subunit ribosomal RNA
Source: RNAcentral
GUUAUGUUCUUUAAAUUUAAAAAAUUUGGCGGUGUUUUARUCUAGUUAGAGGAACCUGUGUUAUAAACGAUACAACACGUAUUAUUUUACUUAUUUUAGUAGAUCAGCUUGUAUACCGUCAUUAUAAGAUAAUUUAGGAGAGAAUAUUAUUGAGAUCAUAUUAUUGAGUAUAUUAGAUCAAGGUGCAGCUUAUGGGUAAGCAAACAUGGGUUACAAUAAAAUUUAUUUAAUAUGAAUUAAGUGUUUAAAUAUAUUUAUGAAUGGAGGAUUUAAUUGUAAGGGGGGAGCAGUGAGCUUUU